CCUGUAGCUCAGCUGGAUAGAGCGCUGCCCUCCGAAGGCAGAGGCCAGGGGUUCAAAUCCCUUCAGGCG
RNAcentral lists this transfer RNA (69 nucleotides) under marine eukaryotic metagenome. It matches the Rfam family "tRNA". From Rfam's summary of the family: Transfer RNA (tRNA) molecules are approximately 80 nucleotides in length. The record is from RNAcentral.